GAUGAAGAACGCAGCAAAAUGCGAUAAGUAAUGUGAAUUGCAGAAUUCAGUGAAUCAUCGAAUCUUUGAACGCACAUUGCGCCCGCUGGUAUUCCGGCGGGCAUGCCAGUUCGAGCGUCAUUUCAACCCUCAAGCCCCCGGGUUUGGUGUUGGGGAUCGGCUCUGCCCUUCUGGGCGGUGCCGCCCCCGAAAUACAUUGGCGGUCUCGCUGCAGCCUCCAUUGCGUAGUAGCUAACACCUCGCAACUGGAACGCGGCGCGGCCAUGCCGUAAAACCCCAACUUCUGAAUGUUGACCUCGGAUCAGGUAGGAAUACCCGCUGAACUUAAGCAUAUCAAUAAGCGGAGGA
This 348-nucleotide unclassified non-coding RNA is filed under the name soil metagenome. RNAcentral describes it as "partial contains 5.8S ribosomal RNA, internal transcribed spacer 2, and large subunit ribosomal RNA". The stretch from base 1 to 120 matches the Rfam family "5.8S ribosomal RNA", at positions 35 to 154 of the family's 154-position model. The record is from RNAcentral.